Molecule: ribosomal RNA, 414 nt
Filed under: uncultured microorganism
Description: bacterial SSU rRNA
Rfam family: Archaeal small subunit ribosomal RNA
Source: RNAcentral
CAGCAGCCGCGGUAAUACCGGCGGCCCGAGUGGCGGUCACUAUUAUUUGGCUUAAAGCGUCCGUAGCCGGGUUGGGAAGUCCUCCGGGGAAUCUGGCCGCUUAACGGUCAGAAUGCCGGAGGAUACUCCCAGCCUAGGGAGCGGGAGAGGCCGAGGGUAUUCCCGGAGUAGGGGUGAAAUCCUAUAAUCCCGGGAGGACCACCUGUGGCGAAGGCGCUCGGCUGGAACGCGUCCGACGGUGAGGGACGAAGGCCAGGGGAGCAAACCGGAUUAGAUACCCGGGUAGUCCUGGCUGUAAACGAUGCGGACUUUGUGUCGGACAAGCUAUGAGCUUGUCCGGUGCCGGAGGGAAACCGUUAAGUCCGCCGCCUGGGGAGUACGGCCGCAAGGCUGAAACUUAAAGGAAUUGGCGGG